Bactrocera latifrons is the source of this 952-nucleotide long non-coding RNA. RefSeq lists it as uncharacterized. Lineage: Eukaryota; Metazoa; Arthropoda; Insecta; Diptera; Tephritidae. The transcript has 2 exons. The record is from RefSeq and is a predicted model, not a curated record.
UUUUUAUAAAAUGAAAAAGUAGAUAAAUACUCGCGCCAAUUUCAUUAGACGGUCGUUGAGCAUUUGAGACUUGCGUCAGCGGUGGGUGGUGCAGUGUAGUGCCGGAAGUUUGUAUAGUGGCAGGUGAUAUAUUUUGUUAACAAGUGCAGAAUACUACUUUUGCAAUUAAUUUGGGAGAUGAAUACUUMUCUGAAGCGGACGGAGUGGAGUGAUGUUGAGACUGUGACAAGAGGCCUUUAAUGUUGGAGUAAAAACAAACUAAUUUGUUUAAAUAGAUCACUAAGCAUAAAAUGUACACAGAUAUACGUGAAACGUAUAUUUCUCCCUAACAAGGCUUAUCAGUGUAACAUAAAGAAUAAUUAACGAAAUCGUCAACAUUUACUUCGGCUAUUUCUAAAKAAUCGCUUAGCAUAUAAAAAUAAGUAAAGUGCCUUUUUAACAUUUUAUUGGCAACCCGUGUAUACAGACCCGCAACAAAAUCCUCACGUCCAAGGGAAAAGACAAAGAAAUAUUUUUGGUAAUGGGCAGACCGGUUAUUAACUCCGCAGUAUCGAUAUGCCUCUAGAUGUAGUGAAACGGAGACGAAAGAAAAUGCAGAGGAGGCAGAACACUGUAGCCCAUACGAUCCUCCUGAUGUCUCCCGUCUACCAUCACCAUAGCGAGGAACAAUGCAUUCCUCUCCAAACAGUUUCUGCUUGGAUGUUGUAGUAGCAGUGUCUGCGCUAAUUACAGUAGAUACAUUAACACCUUUACCGACUCCUAGACCAGUGAUUCCAUUUUUUGAAACCCGCAAAUCCAUGUAACGCCUUAAUAAAGUAUCAAAAGCAGAUAAAUACGAUUGGGAAAAUUUUUUAAGUUGAAAAAUAUUGUUAGUUCAAAUCUUACCGCAAAUUAUCUGAACACAUGUCAACAGAUGCCACUUCAAAGCAAAUAUUAUGCAUCACAAAGCCAU